UACAGAACAUUUUUAUUAAACGAAAUUUGUGUUAUAUUACGUUCACACUACGAGUUAAAACAUGUUUUAACGCUAUCUUGAUGACAUUUUUCUUGUUGCUAAUUAUUAUAACAUGUUUUAACUCUGUAGUGUGAACGUAAUAUUACCUGCCCAUACGGGAUACCGUCUAUCGAGUCUGAUUCCAAACUGUAGAUCCAUCUUCAGAAUUGACGUCGAAGGAGACGCACGGUUAUGAAAUGUUAAAGAUGAACGUCCAACGUGACUAUGAUUUAGAGAGGUCGGCCUAAACUUAAUCAAUUUUGUUAUUUGUUUUAAAUUAACUUUUGGUUGAGCGGGGUUAGGCUUCCAAAACCCCACAUUGGCUACGCCACUGCCUAAAAUACUACUACGCGUAUUUGGCAACGUCGCCAAAAGUUGCCAAAUGGACCAUGACUAACGUUAAUGAAAUCUUCGGGAAACGUCUGUCAACUGCAAGGAAUCCAGAAUCAACGCCACUGAAAGUUUUGGAAAAUAAAUUAAUGAAAAAAAACAUGUUUUACGAUGACUCUUAACAAAUUUGUGUCUCGUUUAGAUUGAAAAAAUAAAUGAGAAAAUGUCGAGGAA
Molecule: long non-coding RNA, 603 nt
Organism: Topomyia yanbarensis
Lineage: Eukaryota; Metazoa; Arthropoda; Insecta; Diptera; Culicidae
Exons: 2
Source: RefSeq, a predicted model, not a curated record